RNAcentral lists this ribosomal RNA (578 nucleotides) under uncultured bacterium. RNAcentral's name for it is "partial 16S ribosomal RNA". It matches the Rfam family "Bacterial small subunit ribosomal RNA", at positions 355 to 926 of the family's 1533-position model. The record is from RNAcentral.
UGGGGAAUUUUGGACAAUGGGCGAAAGCCUGAUCCAGCAAUGCCGCGUGUGUGAAGAAGGCCUUCGGGUUGUAAAGCACUUUUGUCCGGAAAGAAAUCCUUGGCUCUAAUACAGUCGGGGGAUGACGGUACCGGAAGAAUAAGCACCGGCUAACUACGUGCCAGCAGCCGCGGUAAUACGUAGGGUGCAAGCGUUAAUCGGAAUUACUGGGCGUAAAGCGUGCGCAGGCGGUUUGCUAAGACCGAUGUGAAAUCCCCGGGCUCAACCUGGGAACUGCAUUGGUGACUGGCAGGCUAGAGUAUGGCAGAGGGGGGUAGAAUUCCACGUGUAGCAGUGAAAUGCGUAGAGAUGUGGAGGAAUACCGAUGGCGAAGGCAGCCCCCUGGGCAAUACUGACGCUCAUGCACGAAAGCGUGGGGAGCAAAACAGGAUUAGAUACCCUGGUAGUCCACGCCCUAAACGAUGUCAACUAGUUGUUGGGGAUUCAUUUCCUUAGUAACGUAGCUAACGCGUGAAGUUGACCGCCUGGGGAGUACGGUCGCAAGAUUAAAACUCAAAUGAAUUGACGGGGUCAUAGCU